Molecule: ribosomal RNA, 481 nt
Filed under: uncultured bacterium
Lineage: Bacteria
Description: partial 16S ribosomal RNA
Rfam family: Bacterial small subunit ribosomal RNA
Source: RNAcentral
GACGGACGCUGGCGGCGUGCUUAACACAUGCAAGUCGAACGACGAAGGAGAGCUUGCUCUCCGGAUUAGUGGCGAACGGGUGAGUAACACGUGACUAACCUGCCCCUUUCUCUGGGAUAACGCUCCGAAAGGAGUGCUAAUACCGGAUACGAACUCUGAACACAUGUUCGGAGUUGGAAAGUUUUUCGGAAAGGGAUGGAGUCGCGGCCUAUCAGCUUGUUGGUGAGGUAACGGCUCACCAAGGCGACGACGGGUAGCCGGCCUGAGAGGGCGACCGGCCACACUGGGACUGAGACACGGCCCAGACUCCUACGGGAGGCGGCAGUGGGGAAUAUUGCACAAUGGGCGAAAGCCUGAUGCAGCGACGCCGCGUGAGGGAUGAAGGUCUUCGGAUUGUAAACCUCUUUCAGUAGGGACGAAGCGAAAGUGACGGUACCUAAAGAAGAAGCACCGGCUAACUACGUGCCAGCCGCCGCCGUAA